This is a non-coding RNA of Vicia faba (fava bean), 207 nucleotides long. Lineage: Eukaryota; Viridiplantae; Streptophyta; Magnoliopsida; Fabales; Fabaceae. The record is from the annotation of a GenBank genome assembly.
AUGGGUCCAAAAUCAAGUAAGAAUAGUGAACCACCGCCGAGAUCUACACCAUCACGCUAUAGCAGAGCUGCGACGGGCCGUCGACCAUUGAAAAUCUCAGAUCCGCCGAUUGCAAAAACUAAUAUCAAAUCUGCACAUCUCCGCUCCGACGAACCUUGCCAACACAAAUGCACAACCGCGAAUCAGACCACCAACCUCUCCUUCUGA